RNAcentral lists this ribosomal RNA (183 nucleotides) under uncultured soil bacterium. Its description in RNAcentral is "partial 16S ribosomal RNA". It matches the Rfam family "Bacterial small subunit ribosomal RNA", at positions 26 to 218 of the family's 1533-position model. The record is from RNAcentral.
AGCCUGAACGCUGGCGGCGUGGCUAAGACAUGCAAGUCGUACGGGGUAGCAAUACCCAGUGGCGAACGGGUGAGUAAUGUAUCGCUAACGUGCCCCCGAGUCAGGGAUAGCUGCCCGAAAGGGCAGGUAAUACCUGAUGAGACCACGACCGGGCAUCCGGUAGUGCUCAAAGCAGCAAUGCGC